This 446-nucleotide ribosomal RNA is filed under the name uncultured bacterium. RNAcentral's name for it is "partial 16S ribosomal RNA". It matches the Rfam family "Bacterial small subunit ribosomal RNA", at positions 338 to 795 of the family's 1533-position model. The record is from RNAcentral.
CCUACGGGAGGCAGCAGUCGAGAAUCAUUCACAAUGGGGGAAACCCUGAUGGUGCGACGCCGCGUGGGGGAAUGAAGGUCUUCGGAUUGUAAACCCCUGUCAUGUGGGAGCAAAUUAAAAAGAUAGUACCACAAGAGGAAGAGACGGCUAACUCUGUGCCAGCAGCCGCGGUAAUACAGAGGUCUCAAGCGUUGUUCGGAACCACUGGGCGUAAAGCGUGCGGAGGCUGUUUCGUAAGUCGUGUGUGAAAGGCGCGGGCUCAACCCGCGGACGGCACAUGAUACUGCGAGACUAGAGUAGUGGAGGGGGAACCGGAAUUCUCGGUGUAGCAGUGAAAUGCGUAGAUAUCGAGAGGAACACUCGUGGCGAAGGCGGGUUCCUGGACAUUAACUGACGCUGAGGCACGAAGGCCAGGGGAGCGAAAGGGAUUAGAUACCCCAGUAGUC